Molecule: long non-coding RNA, 300 nt
Filed under: Rattus norvegicus (Norway rat)
Lineage: Eukaryota; Metazoa; Chordata; Mammalia; Rodentia; Muridae
Description: long non-coding RNA NONRATT022434
Source: RNAcentral
GAAGAAGUCCAGAAGAAAGUCGCUGAGCAGACCUUCAUUAAAGAUGAUUACUUAGAAACGCUCUCAUCUCCUAAAGAGUGUGGGUUGGGACAGAGAGCAACUCCACCUCCCCCACCACCACCCACCUACAGGACUGUGGUUUCGUCCCCCGGACCUGGCUCGGGCAGUGGUACGGGGACCGCCAGUGGUGCAUCUUCUCCUGCUCGGCCAGCCACCCCCUUAGUCCCUUGCAGCAGCACCACUCCGCCUCCACCUCCUCCCCGGCCUCCAUCCCGGCCAAAGCUACCUCCGGGAAAGCCU